CGUUUUGCGUCUAUUUCAUGCCAACGCGACUCAGACUUGUCCCGACACUCUCCAGAGCUGUCGACAAGCCUCAACCGCCAAAUACCAGGGAUCUUACAUAUAUAAUAGUUUUCUAUUUUAUUUAUUCUUUUUUCUUUUCAACCAAACAAAUCUAACGAAAAACUACUUUUUUUUUCCUACAAAUCAAACACUAAAGAGCGUAAAUUUAUUUUCUUCCAAAAAAAAAUUUUCACCAAAAAUUAUUUUUCACAGUUUUACGUGGAACCAUACACACCCUUACCCAAUUUAUCAAAAUGAAAAAAAAAAAUCUAUCAAUUCUUCACCAAAAUCCCACCUUUGGUUUGUUGGUUUUACUUCGUAUUCUCGAUUGUUAUCCUCUCGACCUCCAAAACCCUAAAUAAUGGAGGAAUAAACCUAUCCACCACCAUCACCACAUCCUCCUCUCGGCGCCUUUCGUAUUCCGUCACUCUUUCGAGCGCCAAAAAUUCAAACAAUAGAGGAAUCAAACUUACCCGCCACAAUCACCUCGUCUCUAUCGUGCUCUAUUCUGUCGCCUUCGUUUUGUAGCGGCACAAUGAAAAAGAUGGUGUUUAUAAUGAAAAUUAUAUGUAUUAAAUACUUAACUUUAAUUAGUUUAUGAGAUAACUUGAUAUUUUUAUUCCUCUUAUAUUAUAUUAUUGUGGCUUUUGAAGAAACAUAUGGCAAAAUUGAAAAUAUAAACAGUUCUCUAAUAGUAAAAAACUAAAGGGAUUUCUAAAGGGACUUCUAAUAUUUGAAAAUAUUAAAAGUUUUGCAGGAAAAACACAUGAAAGUUAAAUUUCGUGGAGAUAUACUUAUAGUUCACUAUGUUUGUAGAAAUCUAUAUGCAUUUAACCCAAAAAUAAAGGAAAAUGAGAAGUCUAUAAUCCGAUAAGAGUUGGUGGGAAUAACAACCUUUUUUCGAGCACCGUAAUCCCCUCCCUUCGAGUCUAAAAACUCGAAAAUAUAUUUUAGCAAUUAAAUAUAAUGAUGGGACAUGAAAACAAAAAAACUUGUCCUUGAUGGGCUAGUUGUAAGAUCUACAACCAAAAGUUGGCUGUAGUUCCCAUAUUGCUCAUCUCAAAAAUAGUAAAACAUCCAUCAAUAAUUGGAUGAUUAUGGAUUUGACUCACUAUUUUUAUUUUUUUUUUUGAGAGAUAGAUAGCAUGCUACUCACUUCGUUUAUUUUAUUUAAAAAUAAACUUAGCUAGAAAUGUGAAUCAAUUAGGAUUCGAACUUGAGUGAUUUAUAAUUGUGACGUAUAUAUUAGAGCCUGUCCAACUCAAAAAUUUAAGCUGAUAGGUUUAGCCCAAAAAUAUUUUUUAAAAAAUUAUUGCUCUUUCAAUUAUUAUUUGAUGUUGACUAUUUUCUAAAUUGAGGCUAUUUUCACAGAAUUCAUUCGCUUUGUUUUUUUUUUUUNUUAUUUUUUUUUUUGAGAGAUAGAUAGCAUGCUACUCACUUCGUUUAUUUUAUUUAAAAAUAAACUUAGCUAGAAAUGUGAAUCAAUUAGGAUUCCAACUAGGAUCCCAAAUUGCGACCUCGGAAUCCGUUUUUUUUUAUUUUUCCUAUCUCCUAAGUAAUAAGAUCAUAAAUAGUGGUGAAAAUAGAUCGCAUAAUACUAGAUCCGAUUUGAAUAUAAAUUGAGAAAACCGAAAACAAAUGAGGAUUUUACCAUUUAGAUAUUGAGUUAAAACUUUUUUUAAAUUAAGAUCUGGAUUUGAAUUGGAAGCCUAAUAUUUUUAAUUGUUUUGUAUAUUUGUUUAAUUUGUACAAAUUUUAUAAUGUCAUUAAAAUAAUAUUAUAAUUCUAAAUUUUUCGAUUGGAAUAUUGAUCUUGGUUAUUAUCUUUCAGAUAAUAAUGACUUCCUAAUUGAAAUUUGGAGAAUAUUGAAUGUCCAAUAGAUCAUAAAUUCAAAUCUUACAUAUAGAGAAAAUUAUUUGAAUAUAAAUUGAGAAAACUGGAAACAAAUGGGGAUUUUACUACUCAAAUAUUGAAUUGAAAGUUUUUUUCGUUAGGAUCUGAAUUUGAAUUGGAAGCCUAAUAUUUUAAUUGUUUUGUAUAUUUUCUUAAUUUGUACAAAUUUUGUAAUGUCAUUAAAAUAAUGUUAUAAUUCUAAAUUUUUCGAUUGGAAUAUUGAUCUUGGUUAUUAUCUUUCACAUAAUAAUGACUUCUUAAUUGGAAUUUGGAGAAUAUUGAAUGUGCAAUAUAUCAUAAAUUCAAAUUGCACAUAUGGAUAAAAUUUUAUUUUGAGUGGUUUAUAAUUGUGACUUAUAUAUUGGAGCCUGUCCAACUCAAAAACUAAAGCUGAUAGGUUUGCCCAAAAAUAUUUUAUUAAAAAAUAAUUGCUCCUUCAAUUAUUAUUUGAUGCGGACUAUUUUCUAAAUUGAGACUAUUUUUACAGAAUUCAUUUGCUUUGUUUUUUUUUAUUUUUCUUAUCUCCUAAGUCAUAAGAUCAUAAAUAGUGGUGAAAAUAGAUCGUAUAAUACUAGAUCGGAUUUGAAUAUAAAUUGAGAAAACUGAAAACAAAUAGGGAUUUAACAAAUUGGGGUUUUCGAAUCGACGAUCCAUACCGUUAAACAUGAUUUAGAGUAUUUGAAAUUUCUAGAAAAUAAAUUUCAUAAUUUUUCGAAAUCAUUAUAAAAUCCAUCAAACGGGUAUAAAAUGAACGGUCAAAAUCGAACGAUAUCCUAAAAAUAGAUGAUUGGAUCCUUCAAUUUAAGAUCGGAGUUAUUGAUCUUUAUUUAAUGAGUAUAGUGAAUAGAAUUUUUAUCAAAAAUUUAAUCCUCAUUCCUGAUUCUUUUUACAACACGAUUAAACUAAGACAAAUUUCAUAUAUCGCCCGGUUAGAAAUUGUCAAUUUUUGUGAUCUUGUGAUCGUAUAGUAAAAAUGAUAGCGAAAAUUAUUAAAAAUUUGCAUUUCUAGAAUAUUUUAAAAUGCUCUAAAAUGUCUUUAACGGUAUGUGAAUCGUUUGAAUUUGAAAGCUCUAUAUAUUGAAAACAAUUUAUGAGUACGAAGGUGAUCGUACUCAUAAGAGUUAUAAUAACUGGACUCAUUUUUACUAUUCAAAAUUUGAGUUGAAAGUUUUUUUUAUUAGGGAUUAUGAAAUUGACAUUUGAAGAGCCUAUAAAUUUUUAAUUUGUUUCUAUGUAUAUUUGUUAAUUUGGAGUAAUUUUUCUAAUUCAUUAAAAUAAUGUAUAUUAAUUCUAAAUUCUUUUCUAUUGGAAUAUUGAAUACUUGGUUAUUAUCUUUCACAAUAAUGCACUUUUAAUAAGAAUAUUGGACAAUAUUGAAUGUGCAAUAGAUCAUAAAUUCAAAUUCAUCACAUAUGGCAUUCAAAUUUAUUUUGGAGGGUUAUAAUUGCGACGUUUAUAUCUGGGAGCCUGUCAACUCAAAAACUUAAAGCCAACUAGGUUUACGCCAAAAAGUAUUUUUAAAAAAUAAUUGCUCUUGUUAAUUAUUACUUUGAUGUGGACGGGUAUAGAUAUAGAUUUUUGAAUCAAGUAAGUAAGAAAAAGUAAAAAAAAAAAAAAAAAAAAAAAAAAUAGAUAUUGACAAAAAAAAAAUUUUAUAGUUUAGCAAAUUUAAAAAAAUAUAAUUUUAUCAAAAUGAAAAAUUAAGAUGCUUACGUGAAAACAAGCUAAAAUUAGGAAAUCUCCACCAAUCCACUGUCACUUAUUAGUUUUGACUUCAUUCAAUAAUUUGUUUAAUAAUUUUUAAUACUAAAAUUUCUUUAAAAAGAGGCUAAACUCUAGAAAAAAAUUAUUAUAAUUCUAUGUAUAAAAAUAGAAGUGACACAUAGCCAUAGUUAGUUAAUUCGGAUUCGGCAAAAAUUCGGUACGGAUAUAAUGCGUAUAAAAUUUGUUUUCUAAUUUUUAAAUUCGUUGAAAAAUUUGGCUUAAAAAACGGAUUUGGUAUAAAAUAUAAAAUAUAAGAUAUAAAAUAUAAAAUAAUUUAUAUUUAAAAAUAAAAUUAUAAGUUUUUUAUUUAUAUUUUCAAUAAUUCAGCACUAAUUCGCGAAUAAUUUGCGAAUAAUUCGGCUGGCCCAAAAAUUUUCGAAUAAUUUUUUUUUCUUUCAAAAAAAUUUGUAAACAGACCGCUUAAUUCGAAUUUUCAAUAAUUCGUGAAUAAUUCGUAAAUAAUUCGCGAAUUUACUAACCAGACACAUAUCCUAUACAAAUGGGUAAAUCAUACGAAAAUUCUCAAUGGAUUUAUUUUUUUUUGCUGUACACAGUGUUGGGUCCGCAGCGUGCCACGUAGCCAACUAUUUUUGUAGGGCCCACACUCCAAAACGCGGUUUUGGAGAAACAGUUUGUAACGAUUUGACUUUCUCGCCAAGCGCUUUUGUCAACGCGAAUCUCCUCGCUCCAACAGGAAAGAAAACAGCGAACCCCUCGUGCGCAUUUUAAAACCCAAUAAUAAUAAUAAUAAUAAAAUAAUAAUGACUAAACUAUACUUUUGGUCCUCGGACUAUUAGUUUCGUAAUAUUUGAUCCUUAAAUUUUAAUUUAACAUAAUUUUGGUUUAAACUUUCUGAAUUAUUACAAUUAAGUUGCACAACUCAAAUUAGAUGGUUAAAUAUUAAUGCAUCAUUAAUGUGAAAGUAAUGUAGUUGUAUUGUGAUUGAUUAUAUAAAAAUAAUAAUUAAAAUGACACAUUACUUUGACAUCAUCGAUACGUCAAAAUUUAGCCAACGAAAUUAAGUUGUGAGACUUGAUUGCAAUAAAUAAAAAAGUUUGAGUCAAAAUUAUAAAUAAGUUAAAAUUUAAGAAUCAAAGUAUCUGUAAUUUAUCUAAACGUGAAUUGCAGAAAUACGAAGUCUACAACAUUGGGGGUUCGUAAUCUUUACGAUCCCCCAAUCCAACGGACCAAAAGAGUUUAAUUACUAACCCUUUUAUUAGUGUUUAAUUAAAAAAAAAUGAUGAUACUAAUUUUUACAACUUGGCCCUUAGCCCUUGGAAAGUUAUAAGAUUACAGCGAUAAAGGGUUGUAGGGCUAGCAUUGCUCAGGUAAAUUGCAUGGAAGGGCCCUAAUUUUUAACAUAAAGUCUCUAUUGAAUUCCUCAUCUUCCAAUGUUGCAUUAAAAUUUGUAGGUGAAUGCCCCAAAAAAGGGGUGUUCACCAAAAAAGGGGUGUAUAUUUUUCUUCUGUAACCGUAUAGUUUAUAAAUCUCUAGGAGUUUUUAGUUUUUUUUUUUUUUAUAAAAGAUAAGAGAGUAUUAUAAUCUCUUAGAUAAAGCGAUGUAAGAUUUACAUUGCUUUUCGGAGUGUAGAAAUAGCAUUCGUUUGUUGCAAUUACAUUCUUAGUCUUUAACAUGCUUUUCAGUUCAACCAUUUACUUUCUAAUUAUUGUAGUUAGGUUCUUAAUCUUCCACAAAUUUCAAUCGGGUCCCCAAGGGACCUUUUAAUUGUUACAACAAAAAUUAUUUUCAUUGACCAUCCCUAGUGCAGGUGGCAAAUAAUUUGAUGGCUAGUAUUGAGGUCCCAAAUUAGAAGCCUAAUAGCUUCACAAAUGCAGCUAAGUUCAUUUCUUAAAGAGAAAAUGAACAAAAAAUGAAUGAAAUAGGUACAUUGCUUGUUGAAUCGUUGACACUAAUCAGUAACCCCAAAAGUUCGAACGGUUAGAAAUAUAAAAUUAAUUGACGUAAAACAUACAGACACAACGCCCAUGGGUCUCGAUUGUGAUUCGGUCCAACCAAUCUCACGUCAUUUCGAACAUGACUCGGCCCAACCCGACCUCUCGCUAUUCCGAAUGCGAUUCAAUCUAACCCAACUUUCUGCCACAAGGCAAGAUACUGGUUCCUUUAAGCUGACAAUAUUAUUUUGUUCUCUCUUCAAAAGAAAAAGAAAGAUACGGUCAGUGAGGAUGCUUAGGUGGGGAGUGUACUUGGAAGGAAUCUUUUCUUGUGCAAGAAAAGGGAGGAGGAAGGAGAAGGGCGAGAUACGUGAAAGCUAUUAUGUGGGUUUGGCCUAGCUUUUAAAAAUCGCUUUUGGACUGAAAAAUAAUUUUCGGCCCAAUAGAGCGUUUGGCAACUCAUUUUUAAAAUCUGAUUCGGCUUAUUAGAAUCAGAAAACUGAUUUUGAAGGCCCCAGAAUCAGAAGCAAAAAAAAAACAGCUUCUUGAAAUAUGAUUCUGAUUUUGGAUUUAAACUUCAAAUUUUUAUUUUUAUUUUAAUUUCAAUAUUUAAAUUUAAAUUUAAUUUUAAUUUCUUACUCUUUCUCAGACUUCAUCCUUCUAAAUCUUUCCAAAUUUUACCCUUAAACUUUUCGCAAUUUUGAAAAAAUAGAUCCCUUCACACCACUCCCUCUCACAUUCUCCACAAUCCUUCUAAAAAUUCAAAUUCUCAAAUCUCAACCAUUCCUUCACAAACUUUUACAAAAUUUAACAUUUUAAUUUUAAAAUCCUUUAAAAUUUCCAUCUUCCAAUUUCACAUUUCACACAUUUCUCAAAUUUUAAAUUUUCUCAAUUUAACAUUUACAACUUUUAAAAAUUCUGGUAAUUUUACCUAUCUCACCCAUUUCAAAUUAAUUAAUUUUUAAUUUUUAAUUUUUAAUUUUUAUUUCUAACUCUUUAAUUCCUUCACAAAUUAAAUUUUGAAAUUAAAAAUUUAAUAUUUUUCUCUCACCAAUAUUUACUCUCUUACUCUCCUUUACACAUUCUCAAUCAACCUUACCUCCCCCUCUAUCUCUCUCUUACCACCAUUUAAAUUUCUCACAAACCUCCUCUUCCAACCAAUUUAAUCUCUCAACCUUCUUACAAUUACUCACAUCAUUUUAAAGUCUUAAAUCUUAAACUUCUCAAAUUUAAAGUUUGAAAUUAUAAAUCUUAAAUUAUAUAUUUUUAUAUAUUCACACAUCUCUCUCACUCACUCUCUCAAAAUUCAUGAAUCUACCCCUACUCACUUUUAAAUUCUAACUAUUUCUCAUCUUUUAAUUUUAAAUUUCCUAUUACUCUCUAAUUUUAAAUUUUUAAAAUUUUAAAUUAUUUUUGAAAUUAGAAUAUCAAAUUUUAAAUUUUGUAUAAUUUUGAAAAUUAAAAAUUUUAAUUUUCAUUCAAAUUUAAAUUUAGAUUUUAAAUUAUUUUAAAAUAAAAUUUAAUAAAAAUAUUAAUUUAUACAAACAUCAAAAAAAAAUUCCCAAAUAACUUUUCAAAAUCACUUCAGAAAAAUCACUUUUAUCUAAACCAUACCAAACGCUCUACAGCUUUUAAUCAAAAUCACUUUUCCAAACCAAAAUCUCUUUUUCAUAAAUCACUUUUUUAGAAGAUAGGCCAAACAGGCCCUAUCUCAGCUGGCUCGGACAACCAAACUUCACCUGCGAUCGGUCGCGCCACUACAACAGAAUUAGAUUAUACGGAUAUAUUUUUAAGACACUUUUAUAUAAGUGUCCCAUUAUGUCAAAUAAAAAAAAAAAAAAUCUGUUAAGACUUAAAUAUAAAGUCCAAUCCAAUCAAAAAUAAAAAGUUCUUCUAUUCAACCAACCACACCCAGCCCACUCAGCCCGAUUACAAUAAAAAAGAAAAAAAAAAAUUGAUCACCAUCUCCCCUUCUUGUCCUCCGCCGUAGCAGCCAACUAGGUAGGAUUCCGGCGGUUGGAGUUCGGCCACAAGAAUCUCGUAGAAACCGAGAAGGCUACGAUCGCAAUAUAUCCCUUCGCCACAAAUCACUGAAAGAGUAGGUGCCCAAUAUCAAAGUGGCCUUAUCUACAGCGAUCCCACAUAUAGCAACACUCUUAAGUGUCGAUAAUUUAGCCAAAAGUAUUCAAUAUUGGCUCGACCGUUUCUCACAUCCAAAAUAAAAGCUUACGGGAAAAAAAAAAUAAAGAAUUUAAUACAAAAAAAAGUGAAUUUAAAAGCACUACAACAAAGGGUUGCACUAAACUAAAAAAAAAAAAUUACUUUACAUAAAAGUAAAAAAUGGUCUUUUUAUUUUUUUUGACUGGACUGGAAUGAUAUUGCAAUACAGAAAUGUUGAGGGACUAAUUUAAGUUACUAUAUAUACAUAUCAAAAUAGUACAGGAACUGUGCAUAGAUGAUGCAUUUAAUUUGUCCUAGAUUUAAGUUAUUAGGUAGCUUAGUAUUAGAAAUUAAAUUAAACAUUUGCCUCGAUAUGGAUACGGAUCCCCGAAGAAGAAUAAAAUCCACAUCUGAUAUUUUUCAGGUACGCUUUUUGAUCGGAUCAUGUAUCAGAUUCAGGUCUGAGGUGACUACAACUGUCAUUAGGAACUAAUAUCUUGGCUUUGAUUAUUAUUAUUACUAUUAUUAUUAUUAUUAUUAUUUAAUAGAGUGAAAUCUCAUUGUUGAAAUUGUUUUCUUUCUAUAUUUUUAUAGAGAAAGAAAGGUAGCAAGCUGUGUACUUCGUUUUAGUUUCUUAAAAUAAAACUAAAUUCAGCUAAAAAUAUAAAAUAAAUUAAGUUUUGAAUUUAGAACCUCAUAUACUAAUGAUUAAAUUAUUAAUCAACUGCAUUGCCAUACUCAUUAUUGAUAAAAUUAUUAGUUGUUGGCAUGUAAAGGUGGGUACAAAAUGUUUGUAACUUCGUACCAAAAUUGAGUAGUUUGGGGCCCAAAUUAAAGGGAACUCAAGGAGUCCUUUCAUGAUGACCAUUACAAUAGGGAUUGAAUGGCCCUUCACUUUUUCACUAAUAAAAUUAAAAGUAAGAUAAAUGGUAAAAGGCAAACUACUAAAAAAAAAAAAGACAAAAAAAAAAGAAAAUUACCUUUCUUUUAUCUUUAAAAAAAAAACACCCUACAAAAAUAUUACAGUUUUGCAUAAAGGACGCAUGGGAACAAAAAAUCUUAGCAUAAGCGGUAAAAAACUUACUGAUUGACAACUGAGGUCUAAAGUUCGAAAUUUAAUUGCAUUACAUUUCUAGAAAAAUUUAUUUCUAAAAAAAAAUAAAUAAAUUGGCAGUACAUUUAGUAGAUCCAGAUGUAAAUUUUAAAUCAAAUGAAAAGAAAAUUAAAGAUCUAGAAGUUUAACUUUUUGCUUUCGAACUUGUUAAAAUAGCUAGCUGACCACUCUAGAAACUUAAACCGCUAGAUAAUAAUAAUUUAAUAUUUUAUAUUCAACAUAUACGUAUUUUUGCAGUCGUUGCUAUUAAUAAAGUAGAUAAAAUGAAAUCUUUUUAGUAUUUGUGCGGUAAACUUGAUUAUAUUCAGUAUAUUUCUUCUAAUAAUAAUAAUAAUAAUAAUAAUUUCUGUCACUUCCCGAUCCGGAAGCUUAGUGGGACACGCCACGUACUUGCGACAAACACAAAGAUAAUUAAUUUGCAACCCUUGUAGGCAUCGGGACACAGCAAUCUAGAAUAAUAGCACAUGAUAAAAAAUUUGUAUAGAAAGUGCCCAAUGAAAAUAACAUAAUACAUGAGUUUCCAUAUCCAACAAAUAAAAUCACAAUUCCAAUUAGAAUAUUAUAAAUCCAUGCACCUACAACUUAUUUGUGGGAACUCUACAAUUCUAUUUUAAUUUGACCAUCCAGCUAAAAGGCUAACUAGUCAGUCUCAUGGCCUCACGUUGUAUCACGCCUAUUCCCACUAGAUGUACCUGAAAAAUAUGGUACAUAAUAGAAUAAAAUAGUAUAAUAAACUUUUCAAUAGGUACAACGAGCUGGCGGAGACAAGCUAUUAAUUACUAUCAAUCUAACCAGAAAGAGUACAACAGAAACAGAAAUAGAAACAGUAAUAUAAAUAAACGAUCAGAAAAAUGAGCAUUCCAGUAAGAAUAACUAAUGCUAUAACUGUUAUCCGGCGAAUAGUCAGUGAAUGAAGUGAAAGGUACAAUUGGAGAUCUAGUUUAUGCAUCAAACUUAAUAUACGAAGUCUCAAAUUUAUCUUUGAUCCAACCAGCAGGGUAUGUUCUUUUCGAUUCGGUGCCAUAGAAUCUAAUCGCAACUGUCUAAGCUCAAUGUGAAUCACUGCCUAGCAGGUCGAGUCGCAACCACUCUUUAGAAAGAGCCCACCCCACCACAAGAUUGCAAUCUUAUACGACAGUAGUAAAUAAAUAGCAUAGAACACAGUGACAAGUCGCCAUGCUUAUGAUCAAGGCUCCAACACAAUAACAAAAACACUAGUCCACAACUACAAGUUGUCGACAAAAAUAAUAUCCAAGAGCCAAACCAAAUUGUAUAACCAAAACUAAGUGUUUGUAUAGAGAUAUCAUGAUAGGAAUAAUCCUCAACGAAACAUGCUUACUACUCAUGCAUAUAUAACGAAAUAAUAAUUUAGAUAUAUUAUAACAAGAACAGAUGCAGUUAUAAAAUUAAACAAAUUAUAUCAAUACCACAUCUCAAUAUAAAGAUUGAAAAACUGACAGGAAGGAUUAUCCCAACUUAAAGACCAAAAUCAUAAAUAAAGAAGGAUAAAAGUCAAGUUAAGUAGUAAAAACUCUAACCACACAAGUCCAAAAAGGAAUUCACUUACUUCAAGUCAUUUCCAAACCAAAAGUAAGCAAGUAUUUCCAUUAAAUAUCUACUAAACCAUUUUUUAAUAUAAUAUUUAUAAUGGUUUAUACUUACAUUUGAUGUUAAAUUUAUUAAUUGUUAGAUGAGAAAUGGUGAAUCUUAUUUAUAUUUAAUACUUCGUUUUUAAUAUAAUACGAUUAAUCCCNAAUUGAUAAGGAUGCAUGAGGUUAGAGUUACACGUGGCAUCCUUAUCCACUACUAGUCUACCAACUCAAAUAAAAACAAAAUUAAGGAUACUACACCCUUAUUCUCAGAUCAACAAUACGAGAUUAUUAUUUUUUCUAUUAAUUUUUGAACAAUACUACUGUUACAUCUAAAAAAAUAUAUAUUAAUCUUAAAUUCUCUCAUUCAUGAGUUCAUAUUGUGCCCUUAUAUAUUUUGUCAAAAAAUUAUACUAAAAAUCUAUAAAAAAAAUUCUAAAUGUAGGAUAAAGGAGCGUAAAAAUUUUAAUUUCUUUUUGGGUCUAAAGUAAAAGUAGUAUUUAUUUUUUUAAAAAAAAGGACGAAGGGAACAAGGGUGAGAAAUAUAUAAUAGGAAAAAUAGACCGUAUUAUUGUUAUUUUGCAAGAUAGUCCUUUCUACUUUAUAAAAUUACAAACUAUUAACUUUGGACCAUAUAUUAAUCAUAUGGUUUUCUACUGGUUUGUUUGAUCCUAAAUUCGAACUUUGAAUUAAUUUAAAACUCUCUAUUACUAUAGAAAUUUUUAAUUUAAUUUUUGAUUAUCUAACUGUAGCGAUCAAAUUUUUUCCUUCUAUUUUCUUUUAUUACAAAUUUUUCGGAUAAAAAUUCUUCAUCUGAAUUAAUUUUAUCCGUAAAUAUCGUCUUAUUUAACAUUUAAUAUAAUUUGAUUAUUUCCCUCUCCUCUCAUUAACAUAUUUAAUUUGAUUAUGAUUUAGAGUGCACUCCCAUCAAUUCAAACCCUUUAUCACGAUGGGUCAUCACCAAUUCUUAAAACUAUGUUAAAAGGCUCGAAGCAAUCCAAAAUUUUAAUAUUCUUAUACAUACAUAUCCAAUAUAUUUUGGAAUAAUUGCAUAUGAUUUCUUGCAGAAAUAUCAUAUAGAAAGUAAAUUUUUACAAAAGUUGAGUGAUCAAAUUUGUGACUCCAAAAAUCUUUUUGUUUGCAAAUAUAUCUUUCUGUUAAAAAAAAUAUUGAUAACGAUGAGUAAAAAAAUAUAAUAAUAAUAACUACGGUUAGACAAAGAGUAAAAUGACUUAUUUACCUGAGUAGAACUACUAUGCUAAGCAUAGAGAAUCCGGUGCUUCCGAUUUUUUGGCACUUAGAUCAACUCCUUUGAUCAUUUCUAACAUUUGGAUUAAUACUAUUACUCUGUGGGGACCACUCAACCCUAAGGGUACUAUUCAACUCUGGAGGAAACCGCUAUCGAUCAUUCCAACCGCAUAAUUUUUGAUCCAACGGUCAAAAAGUUGGAAGCAUCAGAUUCUCUAUACUUUCCAUAAUAUAGUAGCUCUACACUAUUUACCUCUUAUAUAUAUAUAUAUAUAAUUUGUACAAUAUUGAGUUCUACCACCUUUCCCUCCUCUUCUCUUUGCCUAUGUCAGUAGCGAGGCCUAUAGUGCUGAAGGCAUGGCGAGGGCUUGGCGCAACGAAGAUGAGAUAUAUCGCACGGUUGGUUGUGAAGGUAAGGGAAGAGAGAAAGAAAAAUAGCUUCUUUCAGGACAAGUUUGUCAGAGCAAAAUUAUAAUUUCACGUAUCCACCGUCAGAAAAUUAAUUGUGGAUUAAACUAUAGGAACAAAUAUAAACGUAUCAAAACUUUUCGAUGGAUAUAUUUGCAAAUAAUAAAAUUUUCGAAAAGAUAAAUUUGAUUAUUUAAAUAUUAUAAAAUUUUACCUGCUAUUCGAGACCUUUGCAAGGAGCUUAAACCAGCAUCUUUAUCACUCACAAGUGAAGAAAUUUAGAACAAAAAUAAAAAUUAUUCUAUAUAUUAUUUUCUAUUUGAAUAUAUUUUUUUGGAUUGUUAUCAACUAAAUAAGUUUGCUGGUGCUAAUAGCUUUCAAUUGCGAUGGUAUUCUAGAAGAACUAUAAUGGCUCGAAUUCGAACUCAUAAAAAAUGACGUGACGGAAAGAUUUUUAUGGAGUGUUAGGACGUCUAUGAAUAAGACUCCAAUAUAAAUAAAUAAAUAAGAUUUUUUCUUUACCUUUUUCCCAAAAUAUGAAUUUCCUAAAAAAAAAAUUCAUUUUUUCUUUUUAUCCUGAACACAAAAAAAAAAAAAAAGGCAAAACCUACCUAACAUGGAGGUGCUGAGAUGUCAUAUCUAAAAUACCCAGGGGCAAAACGGUCAAAUUAACGACCAGGCCAUUCACACUGCUACAAAGCUAGUAAGUGGCGGGUUUACUUUUUCACUUCACACUUUAUUACAGGACGGAGCCUACCUCAUCCAAGUGAAUUUCCAAUUUUGCCCCUCUUCUCACCUAUAAGAACCUAACUCCCUCCCCUCAUCUCUCUCCAAGAAACUGCUCCAUAAAAGUACAGAUUUUGGGAGCAAAUUCACUCCCAAUGGCUUCUUCUACCGAGAUUUUCGGCGCACUUCGGUAUCAAAAAUCUCCACGUUUUCAUUCUCCGAACUCUCUGCACCUCCGCAGCCGCGCGAACUACCUCUAUUUUCCCCCUGCUUCGCUUCCUUUGAAGCAGGGGAGGGGGUACGGCCCGCGAAAAUCGCGAAAGGUCGCGACUUCCGCGACGGCAACCGAGGAUAAGGCGGUGAGGGUGGAGACGGAGAAGCCCGCGAAGCUGAGAAUAAGCGCGACAGUGACAGUGAGGAGGAAGAAGAAGGAGGAUAUCGUAGAAAUGAUCACGAACCAAAUCGACACGUGCGCAGAUAAGAUGGGCCGCAGUGUUGUCUUAGAACUCGUUAGCACCGAAAUCGAUCCAAGUACGCUUAUGAUUUCUACGGGCUUUGAAAAAAAAAUUUGAUUCAAGUUUUGAUCUUUAUUAUACCACUGUUCAUGCUUAGAAUCGUACAAGGUACAGGUUUUCAUUGUAACGGCUCCAGCUAUUUGUUGACUUUUUCUGCACCUUUGACUUAGUUUUGAUGCAUGCAUGUAGCGCUAUCUCAUUGAGCAUUUAAUUUAAUAACAAUAUUGUUCUCCAACACGGUGUGCAUAGUCGUAACAUAUCACACGGAUCAUACUGAUUCAGCUAAAAUAUAAAUUUAUAAUAAAUAGUUUGUAGAGAUUUAUUUUUAAAUAAAAUUUUAGUUAUAAUUAGCUCUUCUUUUUGUGUAUUUAAGUUACUAAGGGUCCGAAAACAAGCAAACAGGCCGAGCUGGUGGACAAGUCCGAGAAGAAGGACGUAAAGGCCCGACAAGUCGUGUACAUCGCUGAGUUCACAGUCGAGUCCGACUUCGGCGAGCCGGGUGCGAUCACGGUCCUCAAUCGGCACCACAGGGAGUUCUUUCUGGAGAGUGUUGUGGCCGACGGCUUCGAUAGCGGGCCGGUCCACUUCACUUGCCAAUCGUGGGUCCAGCCCGCCAGAAUCCAGCCCAAGAAGAGGGUGUUCUUUACUAACAAGGUCAACUCUUGCUCCUUCCUAGAUGCACUAAAAAGCUGUCUGGUGCACGCGGCUGCAACUGCACUAUAGUUUUAACUAUGUUCAUAUUUAAAUUCAGUAUUUGAUUUGAUAUAAUUGAAUUCAACUAUUGCAUUAAAAUUAUGAGUUGUAAAUUGGCCGCAAUUCUAACUGCAGUCGUUGAAAAAAUAAUAAUAGUAACUAAUCGUAUCUACUUAAUCAUCUUUUACAAUUCUAAAUCUUUGCAGCACUUUCUACUAAUUCAUCCAACUAAAUGAAAUAUAUAUAGCCGUAACUAUUAUGUUUUUAAUUGCAUGCAUUUUCAAGUGUACUAUACUCAAAAUUGCAUUCAAGCAAAUGCCCCUAACUUCAAUUGCAAGUAACUUUGGAUUGGCCCUUACAAAAGAAAACUACUCAACCAGUCAAUUUAAUUACUUUCUCCAAAAUUUUAGGCUUCUAUACCUACACUCUCCACAUUGCUUUUUUCGUAGUUCGUUCAUAGAGCUCAGAAAGGUUAAACAUGUUAACAAACAGAUCACCAAAAAUAAUACACCAUAAGAGCCAAAAUAUUUUUUAAAACACUAUCUUCUAGUUGUACGGAUGUAUCAAGUUAUGUAUUUUGAGGCUAAAAAAUUCUAAAUAUCGAACUAAUGAAUCUUUCGGCCUUUUGUUAUGUGAAAAACAGCCUUAUUUGCCGUCAGAGACACCCCCUGGGUUAAGAGAGUUGAGAGAGCAGGAGCUAAAAGAGUUGAGAGGAGAUGGGACGGGAGAACGAAAGCUCACAGAUCGGAUUUACGACUACGCCACUUAUAACGACUUGGGUAACCCGGACAAGGGGACGGAGUAUGCUCGUCGAGUGCUCGGAGGAGAUCGAGUUCCUUAUCCGCGGCGAUUGAGAACUGGGAGGCCCCCGACUAUUUCAGGUAAACUAAUGGCUUAAGAUUUAUAAGUUAUAGCUAAGCGAAUAAGAUCUUGUUUGGCUCCGCUUCUUCUGCUUUAGCCAUUCAUAAUUCUAAGUCCAAAUUAGCUGUUUGGUUAGAUUCUUAUAAGUGUCCACAGGUUGGGCAAUCAUAAUAUAGCACCGGAUUUUAUGUUAUUUACUACGUACCGUACUAUUGUGUGGUCCAUUUUAGUACCACACAGUUGGAUCUGAUAGGUUCUAAGUUUUUAAGGACACUGAAGGUUUCAUUUCAUCUCGUUCAUCGCUCAACAAAUAGCAAAAGUGGUUAUUUGUAACAUGAAUUUAAGAUCGAAUUGGAAAUUGUCAUUCGAAUAAAAUUAGAGGCAAAUAGCUAGAUUAAGUUUACAAAUUCCCAGCAUAUUUUAGAUGUGUGAAGAGUAUAUCAUCAUGAACACGUUUUAAGAAAUGAUUUAUUGAGCAACUAUCACAAUUUUGUGUGGGAACUAGUUGAACGCACACAACAUCAAUAUCUUAACACAACUUUUGCGAGAUGUCCUCAGCAUCCACUAUUAUGUUGAGAAUUAGAUGGUGGAGACAAUUUAGAACAAUUUAACUAGAGAGCAAGCGCAGUCCGAAAGCGUUUUUCCACUCCAAAACCCUUUUUUUGUCGAGUGAUCACAAACGCAUGGCAGUGGAGCUAGGUAGGAAGGGUUUUUUUUUUUAAGAAAAAUAUAGUACACUAUCCACUUUAUUCAAUAGAAAAAUAAAUUUUGCAUCGAGAUGGAGACAGUUGAGACAUCACAAAACAAAAGGGAAAAGAGCACGCAAAAAAAAAAAAGGGUACACAAAAAGGAUCAAGAGAAAAAAAAUUAAAGUGUCGAAUGUCUGCCAAAAUUCUAACGCGAGUUUUUAAUUACUUCUGUUUUUAAAAAUAAUAUUAUUUCUUUCCAACCAGAUAGAUAACUCUCCAAGUUGCCAAAUGUCUAGUGAAAUCGUCAAUCAUCUUAUGUACAUCACAGUAUAUAUCAUGUGCUUUGGCCCUCCCAUGCACCAUGCUAACACCUUGGGCCCAGCAUUCAUCCCAACAACCACUCUCUCAAACUCAUGUAGCUUAUUUUGUCCGGAACUUAAAUUAGAUUCACUCCAUAACUAACAACCAGGCAUUUGCAUUUGCAUUUGCAUUUGCUGCCUCUUGCAAGCAAAGCGCAGGACCCAACAAUCAAAUCAUCUACAGGAGAGUCUAAAUAGAUAGGAGUUUUUGUGAGGAAUUUUUAAGGAAAAUAUAGGCAGAUUCAGAAGCAUGUACAACUGAUAAAUAAGAAAGAAGAUAAGAAUUUAACUGUGGUGGAUUUGAAAUAGUUCUAGGAUUAAACCUCUUAAUUCGACUAUAGCAUUAAUUUUGAACGGUGGUUAAGCUUAAAAAGUUAGAAAAGUUAAACGUAUUAGGAUUAGAAUAAUUUUAGAAUGAAUGAUUCUUGUGAGAAAUGAGAUAUCUCAGUCUCGUGGACCUAGAAAUACAUGACCCUAGGAUUACAUGUUUAUUAGUACUGCUACGUACAGAUCUCCUAUAAUGUAGGCCGCGUAUAUAUUGUUAAUAUAUAUAUAUAUAUAGAGAGAGAGAGAGAGGAAAAGUAGGACUACGAUACUUUUAUGAGUAUAUAGCUCUUUCUACUUAUAAGUUGUUUUCGAUGAUAGAACUUCCGAAUCAAUGGUUCACUUCAUUAAAUAUGAUCUAGAAUAUUUGAAACUUUUAAAAAAUAAAUUUUAUAAUUUUUUAAAAUUAUAAUAUAGUUCAUAAAGUGGGCAUAAAAUAAAUGGUCAAAGUCAAACGAUGUCUUAAAAAUGGAUGAUUGGAUUCUUUAAUUUAAAAUCCGAGUUAAUUAUUAAUCUUUAUCUAGAUAGUGAAUAGAAUUUUCUAUCAAAAUUUCAACCGAUUUUAAUUUUUUUUAUACCGUUAAACUAACAAGUAUCUCAUACCGGUCGUUAAAAAUUAUCAAUUUUGAAAUCUUUUGCUCGUAAGGUAAACGAUGUCAAAAAAUUAUAAAAUUUGAUUUCUAGAAGUUUUAAAUGCUCUAGAUAACAGUAUGGAUUGUCGAUACGGAAACUCUAUCAUUGAAAAUGACCUAUGAGUUCGAAAGCAAUAUCAUACUCAUAAAAAUAUAGUAGAGGGCACAUCAUCGAGUUUCCCACCGUUAGAUUUAACCCUUUGAUUAUUUUUAUCCGUUAAAUUAUACUAUUCAACCAUUAAUUCACUCAAUCUUAGAGGGCACAUCAUCGUAACUGUACAUUUUUUCAUCCAAUGACCUAUAACCUAAUAGUACCAAUUGCUCGACACUAUUGAUAGUAUUCCGGUCUAAUUUAUAUAUAUAUAAAAGAAUUUGAUUGAGCACAUCCAGCCACUCAUAAAUGCGACGUUACGGGGGGAACCCACGGCGAUGGUAGGGUCGUCUGCUCGGAAGGGAAGAUGCAUUCAACGUCCGGCAAAAGACAGCUCAACAUCGCGUCAAUUAUGCAACAAAAAAUUAUGGAUCCUGUGCGUCCUGACACCAACAAGUGACGGUCGGAUUUAAUUGUGCGGGCCCCACGUAAACACAAACGGUACUGUGCAUGGAGAUCAGGGAUUUAAUUGAAUUGUACUGUAAACGAAACCGCGGCCGCAGAUUCGCACGGUGGGUUCGCGUACCUGAAAGAGACUUGACGGCGAAAGUCGACGUGUCCGCAUCUGGGUCGUUAAGAUUUUUUGUGGUGUUCUUUUGAUUGAUUUUUUAAAAAAAAUUUUUGGGUGCCAAAGUGUUUUUUUUUUUUAACUUAUUAGCAUGCAGAAAUUUUAUUUACAAAUGCAGUACUAUUUUAAGGAUCCGAUGCAUUUUUAAAAAAAAAAAUUUUAAAAGGGUGGUGAUGAGCUAGUAAUACCGAAAUCUUUAUCACUAUCGUGUUUUAAGUUUGAUAUAUAUAUAUUUGUAUACUAUAUAUAAUUGAACUUUUAUAUUUUUAAAAAUAUCAAGUUAUUAAUACUUUUAAGUUUUCUGCUCUUUUUUUUUUAGAGAUAGGUAGCAUGCACGCUAUCCGCUUCGUUUAUUUUAUUUAGAAAUAAACUUAGCUAGAAAUGUGAAUCAACUAGGAUUCAAACUUGGGACCUCGGGUACCAACCACCAAGCCCUUUGUUAUUUGCUCUAGAGACGAUCAGUAAGUUUUCUGCUCUUAAAUUAACAGAUGUACGAUUAGAAUGAUAGUGGUUUUAUAAGGUUGAGUGGAUAGUUGUUUGAAUAGUAUGAUCUAACAGAUAGAAAUGGUCAAAGGGAUAGAUCUAACGGCGGAAAACUCAAUAGCACAAAUCGCUCGGUGUUAUCGAUAGUAUAGUAGCACAAAUCGCUCGGUGUUAUCGAUAGUAUUAGAGACAUUUUUUUGGUUUUUUUUUUUCACUUUUUAUGUUGGAGAAUUUAUUUCUUGGACUUCAUUUAAAUGGAUAAUAAGCAAUUUUUUGUAUACAAAUUUAUUUGAUGAUUGAAACAAAAAUAUUAAUAAUUGCCAUGCAAAAGAGCUUAUUAUCACGAUCUUAACGUUUUUGUUCGCAAAGACCGUGCAGCGCCCGCCUUCCUAUUUGAAAAUGGGCAAGUCUAACUCCUUAUUAGGGCUGGCAAACGAGCGAGCCGGCUCGCGUUCGACUCGUGUUCGGCUCGAUAUUCGACUCGAAAUUAAAUGAGCCGAGCUUCAACAAAAUAAAAGGCUCGAAAUUCAUUUCAAGCCGAGCUUGAGUAUUACUCGGCUCGUUCGAAUUAGGCUCGAAAAGCUCGAAAACCUCGAAUAUAUAUAUAUAUAUAUAUAUAAUGUAUUUUAAUUAUAUAUAGGCUUUAAUUUAAUUUGGGUCAUUAUUGUUGGCCCAUAAAAUAAACCCAACAAGUACAACCGUACAAUUGAGCCCAACACUAAAUUUACAUAACAUACUCUUUCUUUCAGACUUUCACUGCUGCACAUAACCCUAAAAUAUGAUAACAUUCAUAUUCCCAAAUCCCUAAUUUUUUUUCCCCUCUCUCUCUCUCUCUCUCUCUCUCUCUCUCUCUCACAGACCCUCACCCAGUCAGGCAGUCACCCUAUCUCACAUUUCUUGCAAUUAUUUUGUAUUUUGAACUAUUGGAUAUGUUGCAUCAAAUUGUAGGUAAUGUUAUAUAAAAAUUAAACUAUUGAUUAUAUAUUGUCGAGAAUUUCAAUCGGCUCGUUUAGAGCUCGAGCUCGGCUCGACUCGAAAUUAGGCUCGCUCGAGCUCCGCUCGAAUUAAUUUCAAGCCGAGUUUGAGCCUAGAUUUAGGCUCGAAAUUAAUUUCAAGCCGAAUUUGAGCUGACAUAAGCUCGCUCGAGCUCGGCUCGUUUCCACCCCUACUCCUUAUUGCUAGUCUGGACCUUCGCACCCUACGACUAAGAAUGCAAAAAGAAGAGAAAAGAGAAGGACAGAGAUUUUCGAAAAAUUAAAUACUUCACUAUUUAGAAAAAUAGGACUACAAUGCAAAACUCCUCUUGUAUCUCAAUCUUCUACUUCUACUUUGGCCUUAGCCAACCCUUAUACUUAUAAGCUCCUAAAUACAUUGAAUUUAGUAUACACUAACUCACCAUUAAGCACACAUUAAAACACACAUUAACUCACCUACUAUCACAUAGUAAUGAGCUGCCCAUGUCUCUUGGGUUUUCGCCGGCGGUUGUGGAGGCAUUAAUUGCAGCAAUUACAUAACCCUUCUUCUCAAAUAAAAGACCGCUGAUUUUGGGCAUUCUUAACAACCCGUUCCACUAGCAAAGAUAGGCCAGGAACUUGGCCGCAUUGAAAAAUCGUUGAAUCCCUGAUAUUAUGCUACAUUUUGACUGGUUUGGUUCUCAAAUAACAUGGUAGGAAAAGCGCAAGUGCAGUAUUUUUUAAAAUUUAGGCCUAAAGUGGGUAAUAGUAAUGAAAAAUGUAUGAACCAAGUCACAAAAUAUCUCGAUAAUUAAAAAGCCGUUAAAGUUUCUGAUUAUAUGGAUAUUUCGAGUAACAUAGUAUUAGAAUCAAUUCUAAAUUUCUAUCGUUCUAUAUUUAAUCUCUACCUUCAGCAGCUAAUUUUUAUUUAUAAAAAAAUCAAUCUUUUGAGUAGCAUGACCUGCUCUGAAAUUAUUUACAUUUCUUUUUUUUUUCUUUUCUCUAGACAUUCAUACAGAGAGUAGGGUGGAGGAACCCCAGCCGAUGUACGUACCGCGACGAGGCAUUCGAGGAGGAGAAGCAGGAGAUGUUCCGUGCGGGCGAGCGCAGGGCGAAGCUCCACGGCCUGCUGCCGUCGAUCGUCGCAUCCCUACGCUCGUUGGAAACCGGCGACGACGACUUUCGGGGAUUUCAUGAGGUGGACAGCCUCUUCAAAGAAGGGCUAGGUUCAAACCGGAGCUUGUUUGAUCACAUUCUCCACAAAGUUCCUUUCGUUAAAGAGAUUCAGGAGUUCGCCGAGGGAAUGCUCCGUUUUGACACUCCCCACAUCAUAGCAAGUAAGUUGAAAGAAAAAAUAUGGUUGAUGCAUGUUUUAUAAUGCCACAUACUUAAAUUUUUUUUUUUCUCACAAGUGCCUGUUUGAUCGAACUUCUUGGUUAGUUCUUUUACACUCGAAACGUAAUUGUUGAUGCGAUAAAAAGUUUUCUGCAUUUCGGGUUCAACACGAAAAAGAACUAAAAUUUAAAAGUUCUGGACUAAAAUUUGUAAGCAACUUUACUCGAACAGCAAUUCUUUAUAAGCUCCAGGAGUGAAAAUAGGUCGUCAUAGGUGUAAAAGCGAAGGAUUUCAAAAUAAUAUGUGAAAAGUUAAAUGCAAAUACACAAAUUUUAUAUAUGUAUUAUAGCCCAAUUUGAAAUGAGAAUGCGAGUUCUAAAUAUUUUGCUUUUACUAUCUAGGAAUAGUCAGUAACUUUUUUUUCUAAAAUAAGACCAUUGAAUUUCUAAAAUCUAGAAAAAACACAAGUUUGAUAGUACAAUUAAAUGUUUUGUAAUUUAGAAUUCAUAUUUCAAAAUAAGUUAUAGAUUGCACGUUUGGCCCUUAAAUUGAGGCAUGCAACACUUUGAUCUUUAAAUUAACUUUAAUUUAUUGUAAUUUUUAACUCGAACUUUCAGGAUUGUUGCGAUCAAGUCCAACAAUCCAAUUUCGUUAACUAAAUAUUGACUCACCGCUUAUGUAAAAUUGAUGAAACAUCCUAAUUCUUCGCUUAUUACUGAUCACGAAACUGCUGUAUUAUUUUCACAUUAACAAUUCAUUAAUAUUUAGUCUACUGAAUUAAGUUAUAAAUUUUAAUUUGCAAUAAUUCUAGAGUUCUAAUAAAAAAUUAUUAUAGUAAAUUAAAGUUUAACGAACAAACUUGGCAUCUCCAUGAUUGUUUGAGGACAAUAUGUGCAAUUUAUCCCAAAAAAGAAAAAGAAAAAGAAAAGUUACUGUAGUGGUUACUGUGGUACUAUGGAGUGUCUACUUGUGUCCAAGUUUCAACAUUUUAAUGGAUAAAAAUAAAAACUACAUCAUCAUGAGCUUUUCGGGUGAAUCAUUAUAAUGCAAUUUAGUAGGUGGUGACUAAUUGGUACGCUUUAUCAUUUUGUGUAGGAACAAUAAUAUCUAGGUUCAUAAUUUUAAAUAGAUCUAGUUAUUAAAGAUAACUAUUGAAUUCAACAAUAAAACUUAGUAAAAAUAAUUUUAUAGAUAAAAAAAAAAAAAAAUACUUCAAAUAUCGUACUUGUGAUUUUGUACUUUCUCACUUAGUACCUUAUGAUUUAAAGUGUAUCACUUUCGUACCUGUAGUUUUAUCUUUCUCUUUUUGUUAUUCCUUUUACUAAUUUUUUUUGUUAAAUUAGUGACAAAUUUAAAAUUAAAGAAUAUUAAAGUGAAUANUGGUUUUAUUUUUUUCUUUUUGUCACCCCUUUGUUAACUUUUCGUUAAAUCAUAUAUAAAAAAAUUUCAGAUAACUUUUUGUUAAAUCGAAUACCUGUAGUUUUAUCUUUCUCUUUUUGUUAUUCCUUUUACUAAUUUUUUUUGUUAAAUUAGUGACAAAUUUAAAAUUAAAGAAUAUUAAAGUGAAUAUUAAAUAAACUACUGGUAUUCGAUUUAACAAAAAGUUAUCUGAAAUUUUUUUAUAUAUGAUUUAACGAAAAGUUAACAAAGGGGUGACAAAAAGAAAAAAAUAAAACCACAGAGUACUAAAUUGAUAUACUUUAAACUACAGAGUACUAAAGUGAAAAUGUGCGAAAUCACAAGGGUGGAAAUUAAAGUUUACCCUAGAUAAAAUUACUUACAGGUGCUGCAAUACAAUUCUAUAAUUUUAAUAAAAUUGCUGCUGGCUAAAUUAUUAAGUUUGAUAGUAUUAGUAAAAUAGAAAAUCUCUAUAUCUAAAACUUUUAAUCUAUUUUUUGAGUUGCAAAUUAUGGAGAUGUUUAACUGCUUAAUAAUGUGAUACGACUACUCAUUUAGAUGGUCCAAAGCUCUAACCAAUUAGAUGGUCCAUAGCCUAUAUAUGUUUUACAAAUUUCAAAAGUAUUCUUUGUGGUCCAUUAGUACGAAGGAUAAGAUUACGCCAAUUCUUCGAUAGGUGUUCUUUUUGGACCAAUAAUUUUCUCGCACCAUAUUGGCGUACUUUGGAAUAAGUUUUGGCUCACUAUACUUCGAUUGUUUUAGUGGUGUUAGUCCUCAAUUAAUGUGAAAAUAUUUUAUCGAUUAUUCAUGCAACAUUGAAAUUCAGUGGUUUACAUGAUUAACCGCAUAUGGAACAAUUUCACAUUCAGAAGAUCUUUUCUCAAAAAGAAGCGGAGUUUGGAAUCUUUUAGCCAAUUUAGAUUUGAUCGUAUCGUAAGAUAUUUUUGAAUACAUUGGUGUGAGUUCCUUAAAAUGUUGUAUUUAUAUUUUGAUUACAGUUAUUUAUGAUGGGAAGAAUUUUAAUUAAUUCAUGCGCACAUUUUAAAAAUAUUAUAUUAGCCAAUUCAUUUUUAAUUUGGAAGGAGCCUUUGAUAGUUAUUAAUCGUCACCAAUUAUCACUCACGUAAGUCGUCGAAAAUUACUGUAGCCUAGGUUGUACAUGAUCCGGGAAUUGGCACGUGGCAACAGCUCAUAAGAUUACUACACCCAAUCAAUGCAUGCCAUGUCAUUAUCCAGGAUUUUCUGGGACCCACCCAUUUUAACAAAUUUUAUUUAGAUUUCUUUUAGUGUUCAUUUUAACUUUUAAAAGUUAGCAUUAAUCACCCGAGCAAGCACUUCAUUGAAAAAAAUAUAUAUUUGGAUUCAUAUUAAUGUUAUAAUAAAGAUGAGAUAAUUAUCUGUAAAUACGUUAUCGCAGAUGACAAGUUUGCAUGGAUGCGCGACGAUGAGUUCGCACGCCAAACACUCGCCGGCAUUAACCCUGUCAGUAUAGAGCGGCUCCGGGUAACUCUCCACGACUUCCAAGAGCAUAAUUUUCGUCAUUUGAAAAAAAAAUUUACCCAAAAUAUCUUCAGAUGUUACGAGUGUGCUUAACAAACUUUAGGGAUAUGAUCUAUUAAAUAUAAAAACAUAUAAAUAUUAUUCUCAAACAACUUAAACUUUGAGGGACCGUUUGGUUAGAUGUAGUUAUAAAUACAGUGUAGUUAGAGAUACAUGCAGUUAGAAAUACAACAGCUAUAACUACAUGAAUCUUAUUUAGUUGGAUGUAACAGAAAGCGCUGCAAGUAUAAAUAAUUUGUUUAGUUGCAUGCAGUUGAGAAAUAAUUUUUAAAAUUUUAUUAUUUUAUAUAUAUGAUGGUGAGAUUACCUCCAAUGUAAAAAAUAAUAAUAAUAAUUUUUGUUUAAAAAAUAUUGAGGAGGUAAGUAUAUCUUUUAUUUAAAAUUACUCUCUCCAUCUGCUGUAGUUGGAACUGUGGGCCAAUUUGGGCGUAGUUCGAACUGCUACAGUUGGGCCUCCUCCUGCAAUUCCUCCUGCAACAGUAGGAGUUAAAUAUAUCAAAUCAAACACGAAAUUUGUAUUUACAUACAGUUACAACUAUAGUGCAGUUACAACUACAUGCAACCAAACGGUCCCUUAGAGCACAACGGUUGAUUAACAUAGUAUCAAACAUGAGGAAAGUGUUAAAUAUAAAAAUAUAUAAAUAUUGUUAUCUAACAAUUUAACCUUUUAGUCUAGAGUGGUAACUUAAAGUACAGCGAUUGUUUCACAUGAUCGCCUUUUCAGGUGUUCCCACCUGUUAGCAAACUUGAUCCGGCUACCUAUGGGCCUCCUGAAUCUGCCAUCAGAGAAGAACACAUCAUCGGCCAUUUAGAGGGCAUGUCAAUUCAAAAGGUGAUUAUUCUAUUUAUUGAAAAUUUUAAUUUUUAUUAUCUAAUUUUUAUUUCUAUAUAUGUUUUUUUUUUUUCGUAUAUUCAUUUUCUUUUAAUACCGUGGCAGGCGUUGGAGGAGAACAAAUUAUACAUUUUGGAUUACCACGACACCUACCUUCCUUUCAUCGACCAAAUCAACGCGCAAGACGGCCGAAAGGCCUACGCAACUCGCACGCUAUUCUACCUGACGGAUCUCGGGACCCUGAAGCCGAUAGCGAUCGAGCUCAGCCUCCCUCCGAUGACCAAGAACUGCCCUCGCGCGAAGCGCGUCCUCACGCCGCCCGCCGACGCCACCACCAGCUGGUUGUGGCAGCUGGCCAAGGCCCAUGUUUGCGCCAACGACGCGGGCGUCCACCAACUCAUCAAUCAUUGGUAAAUGAAAUAUAAUAGGACAUACUCUUUCUGAUGUCAUGUCACUUUAAAGAUCAAGUACGAUGGAUGGAACCGUCACAGAUUUGAAAUCUUUUUUUUUUUUUUCUUUCUUUUUUUAUUUAUGAUCGAAUGUUUGUAACCGAGUUUGAAAUAUUUGGGGUACAUAGGUUGAGGACGCACGCGUGCGUGGAGCCGUUCAUAAUAGCUGCGCAUCGGCAGUUAAGCGCGAUGCACCAGCUGCUGAAGCCUCACAUGAGGUACACCCUGCAGAUCAACGCCCUCGCGCGCCAGACCCUCGUCAACGCCGGCGGAGUCGUCGAGUCCGGCUUCACCCCCGGAAAGUUCUGCAUGGAGAUGAGCGCCGCCGCGUACCGGGAUCACUGGCGCUUCGACCAGGAGGGCCUCCCCGCCGAUCUUAUCAGAAGGUAUUGUUAUUGUUGUUAUGGUUAUUGGUCUUGUUGUUGUUAAUAUUAUUAUUUAUUAUUAGCUAACUAAAGUUAUGUUUUAGAUUAAUAAAUUUGACUCGAAAUUUUAAUUUUAAAUUUUAAACUUCAAAUUUUUAAAAUAACUUAAAUUAUGUAAAAUUUUUUAUAAAUAUUUAUUUUUUUGACUUUUCCUUUCUAACUGUCAAAAAUUUAUAUUUUUCUCUCUCAAUAUUUUCUGUUGUUGCAUUUAGUCCCCUUCCCCGUCGCGGUUCUAUCAACUAUUUCAUCAAUUUCUUAUAAUUUAUACCGAAAGUACCCUUCAAAAUAAUAAAAAUAAAUUAUUUUUUUUCUUAUAAAAGAAGUGUGGAUAAUUUGGUUAUUUUGCGCUUUCUACUGACGUCGUACCCUCUGAAAAUUUUUCUUAAAUUUCAAUGAGCCAAAAUAUAGAAUUUUAAAAGUCAGAAAGAAAAGUGAGAAAACGAAUAUUUACAUGGAGAUUUAAUCUCCAGUAAUUUAGCCUUUUGUUGUUUUUGAUAACAUUAAAAAAGAAAAAAGCAGCUAAAGAUUUUUUGAAAAAGGAAUUAAUGUAUGUUAACAAGUGUAGGGGGAUGGCGGUGGAGGACCCGCGGGAGGCGAGCGGGGUGCGGCUGGUGAUCGAGGACUAUCCGUACGCGGCGGACGGGCUGCUGCUGUGGUCGGCGAUGGAGCGGUGGGUGCGCACCUACGUCGCCGCCUACUACCCCACCCCGCACCGCCUGCGCGCCGACGCCGAGCUGCAGCGCUGGUACGCCGAGGCCCUGCGCUCCGGCCACCCCGACAAGCGCCACGCCCCCGGCUGGCCCCCGCUCGCCGCGGUGGCGGACACGCUCUCGACCAACUCUGGCCACGAGGAGUACCUCAUCGAGGAGCUCCGCGGGGACUGGACCGGGGACGCAGAGAUGGCGCGUGCGGAGUUGGGGUUCACGGCGGAGGUGCGACGCGCGGGGGAGGAGAUCGCACGGUGGAACGCCGACCCGGCGCGGCGCAACCGGUGCGGGGCCGGGGUGCCGCCCUACGAGCUCAUGGCGCCCACCUCCGGCCCCGGGGUCACCUACCGCGGCGUCCCUAAUAGCAUCGCCAUUUAUUUUUAAUUUUAAUUUUAAUUUUAAUUAUUAUUACUUUACUUUUAUAAAUUUCUUUCUUUUUUUUUUCCUUGAUACUGUUGCAAAUAGAAAAUGAGAGAUGGCAAUCGCUUCUCUUCGUAAGAGAUCCCCACAUGGCUCAGCAACGCGGCUGUGCUCCUUACCCCCGCCCGCCUGGAUCUUCGGUUCAACUCCCUCUCUGGCCCCAUUCCCUUCACCUUCUCUGUUGCAGACCUCAGAUUUCGAUUGCAACGGCAAUAAUGUUUUGUCAUCGCUUCUAUCUCCAUCAGACUCAUGCAAAAAAUGAGUGGCAGGUGUGUAGCAUCAUACGUUCAUUUUUAUGUUAUUCUCCUGCAAUUCUUAUACAAAAUCCNUUAUGAGAAGUAUGCUUUCCAAAUCACGAAGAUUUUCGAGCUUUUAAUCUGUUUUUGAUUAUAGGCCAUCUGAUUCAGCUAUUUGUGUAAAGAAACUAAUAGCCUCAUAAUAAAUCGUUGAAAAUAAAAAUCUCAUAAAAAAUAAUAAUAGUGAACUUAAACUUCAAAUCGGAGACUAUUGAUCUUGCCCUCGAUGUUAAAUAAAAAUUUCUAUUAAAAUUUUUAGGACCUUAGAUCAAUUUGUAAAUAACGGCGAAAAAUUUAAAUAAUUUGGUUUCUAAGUAAUUUUAAUAGUAUAAAGCGUGUCUAACGGAAUAUCUAGCCGAAUCGGAUGUUUUAUCAUCGAGCAUAAUUUGAAAAUAUGAAAGCCUUCGCACUUUGAAAAGUAUACAAGCUGAACUCGAUUAUAUGGUGUAUGAAUCAUUCAAAAUGUAGCCUUAAAAUGCAUCAGAAGAGAAACAGCGGACGCUUUUGAGCUCCACAACUGCUAAAUAGUUCGCCUCAAAAUUCGUACAAAAAGCUCCAAAAACGUUUCACAAACUGAUGAGUUUGAAUGAUUAAAUUUAUUCAGUAACAUUGUGAUCCGUAGACAACCGUCGAUAAAAUACGUUGCCUAAAUAAGUUUGUUGAGAGUCUGAAACAUUUGUGAGUGCAGCAGUACUUAUUUUUCAUCAUAGAUCUUCGCACAAGUCGCUCGGUAAAUUGGACGAUACGACAUUUUCUGGAACAAUUCCACAAUAUAAUGAAGCAUGAAUGCAUGGUGUUUUGGAAACUGGUUGCAGAAUAGGGUAGUACAAAAUAAACUACUAGAGGAUACAUAUGGAAAAAUUCUAAUUAGUACAAUGUAGUGCUAUAAUACAGUUGCAUAAAUGCAACUCAAAAAUAAGAACAAAAUUUAUAUCUGAGAAACAACAUCUUUCAUCAUCUCAUGCCCUGCUACGUUCCAAUGUUGCUCACCAUCUAUCCUUUACAACGGCAAAUAUACAAUUUCUCUUGUCAUAUAUCAAUUGAAAAAUAAAAAUAAAAAUAAAAAUAAAAAUAAAAAUAAAACAAAUAAAGCAAAGAUGCAAACGAAUACAAAUUAGAAGGUCGGUCGUAUGAGAUAAAUGUGUCCCGCCUGCACGAGCUCCCCCCUAAAAAUUCGCCAAAGUCAUUCACCAGAGUAAAAUUUAGCAAACACGGCUCAACGUCGAGUCAGUCUUUCAGUGUUCAUUUUUCAAAAUUGAAAUUCAACUUCCGUUCGAGACGGAUAAAGUAUAAAUGCAAGGGGGGGAAAAAACAAGGAGAGACUUGUGUUCUGCAGCGCUUCACUUCUUCAUUGUUAAAGACCCACAUACUUUCAGUCUCUGCAUAGAAAAGAGAGAUUGUAACACGGAAGAUCUUUGAUGAUUCGAAAUAAGAGUCUGAUAAACAUUUCAAACAUCGGAAGGAAAGGAUAAAUAUACCCACACCUCUUGAACUUCCAUGCUUUUAUAGGCAGACCUCUAAUUCAAAAUUUUCGAAACCUGCGACCUCAAAUUCAUGUACUAGUAUAAUCUACACUUUCACCCAAAACAAAAUUAGUUUCCAAACGGUUUCUCGCAGUGCGUCUAACAUGUGUAUCUCAGUGACCAAGGAUUAAACCCCAUUUUGAGCAAAGCGCUAACAAAGUCCUAAUUUGUUCUGUUACUGCAUGAUGAAAGGUGUUUCAUUAUUCAUAUUUAAACACAUGAAAGACAAGCAGCAAGAAAGCUCUUAGAAACUAACAUUGUUCAAUUGCACCAUUUCAUGAAAUUUAAGAGGCUGAUAUAAAAAAUUAAUGAGUUUAGGGAAUAUGCCAGUAAAAACUUAGUUAAAUGGGAUUAUCCAUAGACAUUAAAAGGAAAAUUUAGAUUAAAGUGAUUUUUGAACUACGGAGAUUACCAAAUUGCUUCACAACUUUAAGUUGAUCCUCUCAGACCAUUUAAAUAUAUCCGAAUAAACUUGAUCACCACCUAGGUCCUCUCCGGUGGCUCCUGCUGCCACUCGAAUGAUAUCCUCAAUCAAAGCAAAGUUGCCCAUUAUGUCGACAUGGGCGCCACUCUGUGUCCCCCGGCCCUCCAAGAGAUUAGCAGGGGGUGCAUGAUCAUACUCCCUAAUAUAUGUUUUGAUGCCAGAAGGAUUGAAGCGGGUUCUUCCCCGCCACGCUUUUGCACACAUGAAGCCUGAACUUAGAACAGGCACAGUCUCAUCCCCAUUGACCAAGUAAACACCGCCUUGUAAACAGCUGCCGUCGUGUCCACCCUCCGCUGAGGUAUCAAUCUGAAAGGGAAUGGAGCACUCGGUAGAUGGGGAUAACUUAUAGACAUAUGAUCUCUCAGUAAGGAUGCCAACUCCAUACAUUGAGAAUAUCUCCAUAUCAGGGGCAUUUGGUAACCUUGUGAGGAAAAUGGGGAAAAAAAAAAAAGUGAGAAAAGAAACUUCAAAUUUGUAAGCGUUUUCUCAGCAUGCAUUCUAUGUUCACAAGCAGAGAGAACUCGUAGAAUAUGACAAAACAAUCUGCUCAUUAAGUCUAAAAAAUUCAGAUAUAAAGGACAGAUAUUGCACUCUAUUGUAAGACCUAUUGAAAGACCACAGAGCAUGCCAGUUUGCAACUAUUUAGUCAGAUGUAACCUUACAUUCCAUAUGCUAUAAUACCUAGACAAGUUAGCAUGUUGAUCUACACUAAAUGCCAUGUAACUUAAAAUGGAGUCCGGCUACUAUACUCUUAUGAGUACAAUCGCCCUCGUACUCAUAAGUUGUUUUCGAUGAUAGAGAUUCCGAAUCGACGAUCCACACCGUUAAACGUUAUUUAGAGCAUUUAAAACAUCUAGAAAUCAAAUUUUAUAAAUUUUCGACAUCAUUUACCUUAUGAUCAAAAGGUCACAAAAUUGAUAAUUUUUAACGGCCGAUAUGAGAUAUUUGCUAGUUUAACGGUGUAAAAGAAUCGAAAUCGGUUGAAUUUUUUAUAGAAAAUUCUAUUCACUACAUAGAUUAAGAUCAAUAACUCCGAUCUUAAAUUGAAGGAUCCGAUCAUUCAUUUUUAAGAUAUCGUUCGAUUUUGACCGUUCAUUUUAUACCUGCUUGAUGAACUUUAUUAUGAUUUCGAAAAAUUAACAAAUUUAUUUUCUAGAAGUUUCAAAUACUCUAGAUCAUAUUUAACGGAGUGGAUCGUCGAUUUGGAAGCUCCAGUAUUGAAAACAACUUAUGAGUAUGAAGGGCUCUAUACUCAUAAGAGUAUAGUAGCUCUAGCCCUCAAAAUGAAUGCGUUGGCAAAAUAGCUGCUGAAAAGGAUAACAUAGAGAUUUUCCGCUCAACAAGCCGAUAGGGAUUUUGCAGUUGACAAGCUGACUUAUCUUACAGACUGACCUUUUUCUCAAUGAACACCUAGGAACCAGGGCAAAUGCAUGAGCACUAGUUAGGCAUCCAUUAGAAGGUUUCCAACAAGGACAGUCUUCGGAUGUUGAAAAUCAAGACCGCCAUAGCCUGCAGUCUUGAGGUUUAUUACAACCAAUUUGAACCCCCAGAUCCUAAAACAAUUCAAAAAUAACCUAAAAAGCCAAGCAAUUUUCCCUUUUCUCCACUAUUUCCUUUUCCUAAAAUUUGAUAGCCUAGGAAAAUCAUAAAUCAUACCAUUUUUUAAUUAAUAAUGUAGUAAGUUCUAUAUUAGAUAACAAUAGUAUCAGAAUCCAUGCAAAGUAUCAGAAUCAAGUUUUAUUCAAGAGGCAAAAGAAACUCCACAAAAGAAAUUAUGUUGCGAAAAUUCAAACUAGAUUAGUCGGGAGUAUAAGUAUAAACUCUCACUUUGUUUCUAGGGGAUUUGACCAAUAUUUGUAGUGGUUAUACUUUGGGUCAUCCAGAUUAUCAGCAAUACCAUAUGAGAAGUGAGCACUUCCACGCUGCAUCAUCUUCGGGGCAACAAAAUGAAGAAGAUCCAGAAUGGAAUCAGUUGUAUACACUUUGUAAUCAGCUACCGCUUUAAUUCCGCCCCAUCCCAAUUCAUGGUGCUCUGUCCAGACAUCUCGGCAUGAUGCAUUUGAAUGAGCAAGAUUGUUACCUUUGACAGCAUCCUGAAUGAGAGGGGGGGGAAAAAAGAUUAGACAGAAUAGUAUGGUAUUUGAAAAAUUAAUAUAGCACAUUUAAAGAUAUCAAGUAUCUAUUUGAAAAAUUAAUAUAGCACAUUUAAAGAUAUCAAGUAUCAAAUCAAUGCCAAUUUCUAAAAAGAUAUCUAUUCUAUUCAACAAAUGUCUGCGAGUAUACUUUCAGAACAACCAUCAUGUCCAAAUAAAGGUAUCCCAAGCCUCUCGGAUCAGUUCUUUUAUAUGGUAUGGACAAACAGUAGUUCUUAAGGCAUGAAAGACAAUUAUAACAUGUGAAUAUUCAUAUUAUAAACAAACGAACAAUCUUGCCAGGAUCUCACCAAGUGUACCAAAAAUCAACUUAAAAGACAAGCAUCCCGCAGAAAGAGUUAGAAAUUUAUCACCAGUCCAAUAUAAAUCAGAUAUGGUAGCUAACAUCAAUAAAACUAAAAAUUCAAAGUGGUUAUCAAUAGAGUUGAUUAUGUGGAUUAAGCUAGCAGCAUUCCUAGAAAAAAUCAAUAUGUCAACUCAGACUGACUUAUCAGCAUCAAACUCGGAAGAUUGACACUUCUUUUCAUAGACUUCAGAGCUAUUUCAAUGUGAUACAUCAAGUGACUUCAAAACAUGGUGUAAUAAAACCUAACAAAGCUUUUAACCUUAUGUCCAGAAGUAUCAAAAUCUGUUAUGUUUUUUAAAUUAGGCUUAAAAAUAUUAUCAUAAUAAAUUAUCUAGAUUCUCGAUAAGAAUGUCCAGCUAUAUAAUCAUGUAACUCCUAACUAGCAACAUCUAUUUUUUGCUCAUUUGAUACAAAGCUGAGAGACCUUGAGAGGAUACACAUCCAAACCCACUAUAUCCUACAAUAUCAUAUUAUACAGCAUGGCAUAUAAUGACAAAAUUUAGUCUGAGCAGCUAGAAAAGAGAACGAGGGUAGAAAAACUAAUGUACAAUAAGUCUUCAUAUUGCAAUUUUCUUUGAAAUAAAUAAAGUUAAUACUUACCCGAAAAUCAAUGCGCUCUAUCGUAGAGGCAGGUGCCUCUGCUACAUCCUUCCCGAAAGAAAUAAUUCUUCCAUAGUUAACUUUUUGCGAGUGAAAAUCUGCCUUAUCAGUGUCAACAUCCUUAGAAACACGAGAGUCAUUAUUCUUUUGCUUCUUGGAGCUACAGACAUAGCCCUCUUCUGGAGACCAAUCUAGUCCACCCCAUAUAGUAUCACCGCCUUUAGGAAUCAUUGACAUAGUAGAGUCCCAUGUACGAGUCAUACGCAUGACAUGUCGCAAUGUCUGAAGACCAAGAAAGUCUGAAUCUAACACCCCAGGUGCAAUAGCCCUAUACAUGGAGAGAAAAUGAUGAUACUUUCUUCUUUUCCACCAAACUAACAUACCAAACUUUUACUGGAAAGAGCAACAAACAAUUAGAAGAAAGACUCGUCACUAGACAAAUGACGUUACCCAAGUAGAUGAGAAGAAACAAAUAUGUUUUAACACCACUUAACUAAUUUAACGCCACUUAAACAAGCUUUACAACACACAUCUUACAGGGGGGAAACACGUAUAAUCUCUUGAAAAGAGGUGAGUACUCGUACUUUUUAAAUAAGAGAGAAUAAACAAAAUGUUGUACAUGCUAAGGUCCAAACUUGCUGUUCAUGUCAACCAUGGACAUUGGUACUUGACGUUGAGAAGAUUCAGUCAGAAGUAAGAAAAAUCCAACCAGACUAAUUGCUGACUGAGCAAAAGCAAGUACAAGGACUUGCCAUAUGAGCACAAAAUGUCAAAUGGCUGGAAGCGACAUGCAAACUAGGAGAACCUCUAUGAGGAUUCUCAUACAAGCCAAAGAACAGAGAUAUUGUUCUCAUUUAGGAGGCAACCUUCAUCGCUGUGACGACAAGCCAACAAGCUAAAAUAUAAUCUAGUGCAAAGAAUACAUCUUUCAAGUCCAAUAAAAUGAUGAAUUUAAGGCACCUUCAGAUACAAGUAACUAAUAGUAUGUUAACGAUAGAAACAUUUCAUUAGGAAAGGUUAAGCUGAAAGGAAAAAUUUGACGCUGUGUCCACAUUAACUUUCCUCAUGUUACUAGUUAUCCACCGGAAGUAGGAAAAAAGAAAAAUAGAACUGCUGAAGAUGCAGAAGUGACGCGACGUAGUAAUAUAUUGUCAAGGCAACGAUUAUAACUAGUAAUCUUGUUGUUCCAAAUAUUCAUAUAAGAUUUUGUUUUUAGCUGGAAAUAAAUAACUACAUAAGGCUAAUAUAGAAUGUCAUUUAGUAUAGCCAUCCCUAAGUGUACCAUUCACCACGUACCAGUACAUAUUAGUGCAGAAAUUGUAUAUUUUAAAGCUACAAUUUACAUAACAUUUACUAUAUGAUAUAUUUGAUCCUUCAAGACAGAAAAGAUAAACGUGAGCAGAAAGGAAAAAAAGAAAACUUGUGUUACCCUCUAGGAGAGCGUACCUAUAAUUAAAUGGACGAUACAUCAAGAACAUUCGAGAAAAAGGAUACUUUCUAUAUUCACUAAAACAAUCCACCUUCAGAAGAUUAUCAAUAAUAAAUCAGCAGCCAGAACAAUCUUCCUAUCUUCAGUAGUCGCAUUAGCAAAUAGACAAAUAGGCCAAAACCUUUUUUUUCUCCCUUUCUAUGCAAGGACCAAAGUAUUUACAUUUCCAUUUAGAGAAAUCGCCAAACAACUUAUUAAACAGAAUAGAAACGAACUUGAAUUCUUGCAGUUUUUCAUUGAAUCGCCUCUUUAUUGGGUAGUCUACAUUUGCUUCAUUCUGUUUUUUAUGCGGUACUAGGGGUGUAAAACGGGUCGGGUGGCCCAUGGGCCGGCCCGGCAGAUCUAGCUGGCCCGCAGGCAUACCGGGCACGGCCUGCAACCACAGGGUAGGAUUCAACCCGGUGCGGCCCAAACCAUUUAGGACCGGGCCUAAGGGCUGGCCCAGCCUGUUUAUUCUUUUUUUUACUUAUUUUUUCUAUUGUUUUUAGUUUUUUAAAUUUAUUCUUUCAAAUAUCAAUUUAAAAUAAUCAAGUAUUAAUUUAAAAUAAUCAAAUUUUAAAUAUUUAUUUAAUAAAAAAUAUAUAUUUUUUAUAAAAUUAAUAGUAAUUUUUUUAAAAUAAAAUUUAAAUAUAAAAAUUGUAAAAAGGGUCAGCCAGAGGGCCGGCACAGCCCGUGCAGUUCGAGCUGUUGACCGUGCUAGGCCACGGUCCAAUGCCCGACCCGGAUUUGAAUCCAAGCUGGGUGGGGCCACCUUGUGGCCCGGAUUGGCCCGAAAAAUUCUAGGCCUUGCCAGCCAGCACGGCCCAGAUUACACCCAUAUGCGAUACCCAAUGCUAUGUUAUGGUCACACUCAAUGCUACCUAUAAUUAACUUAUUUGAUACCAUCUAACUUAAUUCUGUAACCAAAUUCCUACUAUAUCUAGAUAACAGCAGUCAAAGCAGAAUAUUAGCCUUGAUGAAUAAUGCAUUAAACUGAAGAUAGAUUUCAAGAGAAUUGGUAUUCCUUAAUUAUAAGUGUCAAACAGAAGUAGAUAUUUAGCUAUAUGCUCAAUUAGUGAAAUUCCAAUGUUAAUCAAGAUAGCAAUGCUAGUAUAGAGAUAAUAAAGUGUUUUGAAGUAUCACACAUCAUAGACUAACAUUUAAGUUACAAAGCUAUGAUUUGUACCUUAGGUUACCGUUUGGUUCGAGAACAAGUUAUUUUUGUUUAUUCUUGGGAUAGGUAUAACUUCUGGGAUAGGUAGAAAUUAAUUCAAUUUUGUGUUUGGACGAGAAUCGAGAUAUUUAGAGGAAUAAGAAAAAUUAUGUUUGGUUGAUUGGGUUGGAAUAGUAGGGAUAAGAGUAAUUAUGAUUGAAAAUAAAAUUAAUUUAUCUAAAUAAUAAGCAUCUAGGUAUUAGUAAGAUAAUAUUUUAAUAAGUUAAUAAAUAAAUUAAUCAAAAUUACUUUAUAAAUUAAUUAAAAUUACUAUAUAAGAUGACAAAGAUGACAUUAAUUAGCAAAUAACUAUAAAAAAUAAGCCAAUAUGUUAAUAUUAAUUAAUUAUUUAAUCAUUUAUAUUUUUAGUUAAUAUAUUAAUUAUAUAAAUUAAAAUACUAAUUAUUUAAAUAAUAUAAAUAUUAGUAAAUAAUUGAAUAUAUGGCUAACUAUUUAAUUAGAUAAAUAAUAAUAAAUUAUAAAUAAAUUAUUAUUUAAAUAUUUAUUAAUCUAAUAAGUUAAAUAAUUAAUUAGUUAAUUACAAAAAAAAUUAAUUUCAUUAAUUAAUUAUAAUUUAUAAUUAUUUAUAACUUAAUUAGUAAAGGAAUAAGGUAGAGAAUAGCUUGUUCCACCCAAUAGGUGGAACUAUCUUCCCUCUUAACGGGUUAUUCCGGAAUAACCCAUUAAGAGGAGAAUAGUAGUUCUUGGCAAUUUUUAACACCGUUUGGAAGAAUAAGAGGAAUAAAUUCCUUAUUCUUCCUUUAUUCUUUGAACCAAACAUAGCUGUCAUUUGGUUGCAAGGAAAACAUUUUUGGAAAGUUUUUUCCUAAUUUCAAGGAAAAUUAGUGUUUUCGUUUUCCGAAUUAUUUUUUAGGAAAACGAAAAUACUAGUUUUCCAUAAAACUUCGAAAAAAACUUUCCAAAUAAGCUAGUUUCCCUUGGAACCAAACAGGCAAAAAACUGGAAAAAAGAUUUUUCAUAGAAAACUUUUUUCUUGAAAACCUUUUUCCAUACUUUUCGGAGGAACCAAACAGCCCCUAAUAGUUUCACGGAAACAUAAGGAUAUCAACUAGAGCAAAAGGAUAAGUACUUAGGAUCGCAUAUACCCAAGCAUUUUUACAAUUAUUACCUAGCAACAGCAACAUCUUUGGCUUCAGCCGAGAAAAGACCAGCAACAGCCUUUGGAACACCUAAGAAGGGGCCACCAAUAUUCAUUACAGCUUUGAUAUGUUUUGAACACCAGUUUGGACCGCCGCCGCCACCCGUAGGAGCAGGUGCUUCAACCCAUUUCAUAAAAUGCAAAAAGUACAAAACUCCCAUGGAAUGCGGGAUAACCACCACUUUAUUGCCACCAUUUGUUGAUACCAUGAGUUCUAUGUUACUCUUUAUUCUGCUUAGGGUCUGAUCACGGACCUGUUUGCAUUUGCUCGUGCAAGCACAUGACGUAUGUCAAAAACCUUGGGAAGGAAUUAAUAAACUGCUACAAAAGGAGAAUGCAUACAAAUGGAGAAUGCAAAACUGAGCAAGAAAAUACACUUAAAGGAGAAAAUUAGGUGGUGUUUGGGUGCAAGUAUUUGCAAUAACACUGCAAUUAUAAGUACAUGCAAAUCCACAACCACCAUUUGGUUUCAUGCAUUUGAAUCCAACUGCUGCAAUUGGAACUGCACAAAGAGGUUCAAAUGCAGCAUUUGAAACAAUGCCAAAAUUGGCCACAUUUCCAACUGCAACAGUUAGAGAGAGUGACAUUAAACAAAGUAAGCUUAUCUCCCUAAUAAUCUUCCAAACAUAAAAUGAUUUUUUUAUAUAUAGAAGGUAAUCUCACCAUACCAUAUAUAAAGUGAUAAAAUUUUGUAAAUGCAUUUGUCAACCAUACAUAACCAAACAAAAUAUUUAUAGUUGCUGCACUUUCUAUUGCAUCCAACCAAACAAGAUGUAUAAUUAUAAUAGUUGCAUUGUCAAGAGCAUGCAUUUUGAACUACACCGCACUGACAAUUACUUCCAACCAAACAACCCCUUAGAUGUGACUGAACGAAAUGAAAGGGUACCAAUCAGGUAUUUAGAAAGUUCAAGCUACCUCAGUGUUUUGAAAAGAUAAUCUCCAGUCAUAUGCAGCCAUAUACAUUGUCUUCUCUUCAUAUCCAAUGCGAGCCAAAUUAGCAAUCAGCACUGCCCAGACAAAGUAUCCUGGAGCAAAAUAAUCUGCCGCAACAAGCCCUGUAACAGGCCUAACUCUUAUACCUGGAGGAUCCAGCCCAGUUUCAUUGUCCAAAGACAUAUGUUCAACCCAGCAUAGAGGUCUGAGGAAGAUUCAUGAACAACAAACGUUAUAAUUGAUACCGAUAAGAUGUCUAGCAAGUUGAAUUAUGCAAAAGGUCGUCAGAGCAACAACUAAUGUUCCUUUUAGAUAUAGAACAGAUUCAGACAAAAGACUACCUAGACAAGACAUCUAAUAGUACAUGCAAUAGACCCGGGUACUUAAAAAUUGAAGAAAAUAGCAAUUUAGCUGGCAAAGAUUCAUCAGCAGGAAUGUAAUAAUUUACUCAACAAUGCCAUGAAAAGUCAAUUAAAUGAAUAAAUUGCUAUAUGUGAUGAUUGCUAUAUCAUUGUUCGGAUCUCCCUUCAACACCAUUAGCUUGUCACUAAAAUCUAGAUCAACACCCUCAAUCCUAGCCACUCAUUCCAAACAAAGGUCUAGAAAAAGAAAAGAGAAGACACUUCAUACCAUUUUCCUUGACUCUUGAAUAACGGAAGCAAGGCUUCGACAGCCCAUGUCGGUCUGCACAGGGUGAAACACACUGUGUCGAUAGGCCACUCUUAAAUAAAUCCAGAUAUAUCUGAUUAAUCCACCUUACUUUUUUUUUUGCUUCUUAUGUGAAAUGAGACAAAGUGCUUCUUAAAGCCUAAUUCUCAACUCUCCGUUGAAGAACAGCCUAAAAUAUACAGCACGCGACAGCAUGGAUGCAUGCUUCACCACGUGCCACAGCACGUACAUGCUGACAUAUGACCUACAUGCCUACAUAGCACUGCAUGGCAGACCUUGUGGAGAAAGAUAACAACUAAAUAAAUUUGUCUUCUUCUCUAACAACUGAACUUGAAUGGAAAUGAAACUCAACCUCAUAUAAGACAAAAUGAAAAAGAUAAAGGUUAUAUUGUAAUUUUUUUUUUUUUUACUGCCCCAAGUCAGAAGAACUAUUUUCUGGUUCAUGCAGUUACUGAAGAGAUAUACGUAAACGCUAGAUCCAGUCCCUAUUAACUUUAGUGAAGCAUCCAUUUACGUAUAACACAUGUCACUUUGUGCACUUUUGAUGAAGAAAAGUUUUGUUCAAGGGGGCACAAUAGAAAUUUUGAGAACAUUAAGCUUGCUCAUUACUAUUACUAGCAUUAGGAGAAUAAGUAAUCAAGCUAUAACAUUAAGAUACCAACAUUAAAAACAAAUAGACAAGAACAAAGCCCUAUCAAGUUUUGAACGACACGCAAUUCACAGAGUCACAUCCCAAAAGUAGCUAACUUUUUCACAAUUGGCUAAACUACCUGUUUUCUAAUUCUACUAUAACAAUCAAGUUACCACAAAAUCCCAAGCUAACAUAGCAAACUAUAAACACCACUUAUGAGGAAAUCUCCAGCAAAGUAAUUUCCAGAUUCGUGUAUACUUCCUCCUUCGUAGUUCUACAAAUUUCAGUCCCCACUCCCCGGAAAUCCCAAUCAUCACUAAUACAAACUCAAUCACAAAGGAAAUAGGGUUGAACAGAGAGGACAGAUAUAUACCUCUUGUAUACCUCUCCGAAGGUUCCGCCCCAAAGGCGCUUUCGGAAUAGGCCAUCGGCGCACUGGUGGCCCUCCCAGAGCUCGAGCCCCCCGGUGACGAUGCCGGGGACGAACACCACCGGGUGCUUCGCCUUGAGCCCCUCCUUUUGGAGCUUCACCCCGGGGGGGUCCGGUAACGGCCCGGUGAUCGCCUCGGUCACGUACUGCGGGAACGACGCGGGCAUGGCGUUGUAGAGGAAGAGGAGAAGCCACCACACGGAGCAGAUGCACCCGAUCAACCAACAGCAGCUAUCCACGCACGACCACCUCUGCCCCUUCGUCGCCUUCGCCCUCGCCCUCUCCUUCUCCUUCGAGGGCUCGGCGACCUCCGCCCUCGCCGGAGACUGCGGCGCCGCCGGCGGAGGCGGGGGUGCCUGCUUCUCGGCGGAGUCGGAGGGCUUCCUCCGCCGCAGCAUCGACAUCGCCGCCGCUCGGAAGGUGGGGGGCCGCGGCGGAACCCUAGCGCUCACCGAGUGUUUCGAAACCCUAACCCUAACCCUAGGGAGAAGGAGGAGGAGGGAGACGGGAAGAGGCCGCGCUGGUUUCGCGGAACUCCGGUUCCGUCGGGAGCUUGAGAGAGAGAGAGAGAGAGAGAGGGGGGGAGGGGAGGAAAAAAAAUAUAUCAGAGAAAGAGGGGGGGAAGUGAAAGUAUCGACGUGUCGUCGUCGUCGGACACGUGGCAGGAAUCUAGAGGCUUCUGAUCGGAAUCUGGUGGGGCCAGCUGUGAGCCGACGAUCAGGAUCAGCUGUAACGUGCCAACCAGCGCUCUCAUUCGAACGGCAGUGUUGACUACCGAACCAACGUGGGAAACCGUGGACCGGGUCUAUAGACCGGGUUCUCCAAAAACACAAAACUAAUGCGCAAAUAGUAAUGUUGGUCCCCAAACUACAAGCCGAGUGAUGCUUUCCUCCUUCAAUUUUAAUUUAUUAUAAUUUUUAGGUAAAAUUUUCUAGAUUGUUAUUAUGCAAUGCAAUUUAGUUACCUAAACAAUAAUACGUUAUUGAUGUGAUAAUGAUAUAGGAAUAUUAUAGUUUAUGAUAUGAAAAUAAUAAAAAUGUCACACUGCUGCUAUAUCAGUAAUGUAUCAUUAUUAUAACAAUAAAAUUGUAUGGUAUGAUUCAAUUACAACAAUAUAUAAGUUCGAAUCACAAACUAUAGCAAAUUAAAGUUCUAGAAUUAAAAUGUCAUGUGUUUUAUAGUUUAAGGACAAAAGGUGCAAUUUACCCAAAUAAUAACACCAAAUUAAGUAGCAACAAAUGGGAGAUGAUUUUAGCGGAUCUAAAAUUAUUAGUAAUGAGCACAUUUCCUUGGAUUUAAUCAAACUAAAUUGAUUGAUUUGACAAAACUGAUUUGCUUCUAACAAACUCAAAUAGGUAUACCCCACUUCAGGGCAUAUCAGUAGCAUUACUCUAUGGUUAUUUGGAUAAUAACACUUUUGGUCCUCAAAUUAUGAGACGCAUGAUAUUUGAUCCUCAAAUUUUAAUUUCUUAUAAUUUUUUACUCGAAUUUUUUGAAUUAUUUAGAUUAAGUUCCACAAUCCAAUUUAGAUUGGCCAAAUAUUAAUAAAUGGCUAAAUUACAGAAAACCCUCUGCUAAAAUCUGAUUUUUCACUUUUCCCUUCCUGUCAUUUAAAAAUCUAUACUUUGUUCUCUUAUAAAAUGAAAAAUGUUUACUUUACUCCCUACCAUUAGUGAUCCGUUAGAGUUCCGUUAUAAAAUAUUUUUUUAUAUCGAAAAUACUCUCCGCCCUCUCUACUGUUGCUUCGCCCUCCAACGCCUUGCCGCCUUGCCCUCACCUACAUCUCCGUCCGCGCCUAUAAUGUAGUGUUCUAGAGUUUUGGAUAGGAUUGGCUUCAGUGUUAGUGACUGGUCGACACAUCUGAAGAGUGUCGGACUGAGUCGGAGUCGUUUCUACGUGAAAUGGGUGCAAAAAUGGACUCAGCGCACUCAAAUAGGCAAAACUGAAGUUUUGCCAGUUUAGGGCGCCCAGAACUUGGUUUAGGGCGCCCAGAUCUUGAGUGCUGAUUUGAGCAAAAUUGGAAGCCAAUUCGGAUCCUAUUCUGGGCGCCCAGAAGUGGGUCCAGAAGUUUACUUUGGAAAUAUCGCUGGCGUUGACACGUGUUUGUGGUAGGUGAGGUCCGCCGGAUCAAGAUAAGGGUGCAGCACACCGUGGGCGGAGGAACUGAAGAGGGCUGUUUGUGCAGGCUGGAAGUUCUGGGCGCCCAGAACUUGAUUUAGGGCGCCCAGAACUUGCUUUUUCUGCAGCAGUGUAGGUUUGUAUCUAAUGUUCCUAAGGCUUAUAUGACCAUUUAAUAACCCUAUAAAUAGGUGGGAGACGCCCCUGGUAAGCUCUUUUCCUCUCUUUCUCACAGGGAAACUUACAAUUGCAUUCCAACCCCUCCAAAUCACUCAAAUUGCAUCAAAAGUCCACAACUUCAACUUGAGGAGUGCUGAUUCUGCAGUUUUCCAGCGACGACCUUCAGUGCUUUAGCUCGUGUGCGACGUAGGAAAGCCGGAUUGCGGUGAAACUUGGUUUGUUGGAUUCUAGACUUCAAGAGGAAUCCACGAAAUCCAAUAUUGCAGAUUUUGGUGAAGGUUAGCUUGGUCGAACUCAAAUUCUUCUCUACUGCUGUUGUUUUGGGCAGAUUUCUUUGAUGCUAUCUUUGGAGGCAGGGGGAUUUUGGAUCUGAGAUUAAUACUCCAUCAUUAUUCAUUGGAUUUGAAACUUGCCUCACUUGAAUUAGAGAUUAUUAGGUGAGUUUUGACAUUGGAGUUGAGACAAAUUAAGCUUAAGUGCUGAAAUUUGGUGAAUUGAUGGAUUUUGAUGGAUUUUGGGUGUAGAUCCUUCGAGUAGCUUUGUUGCUAGUUGUGGGUGAUCUCGGCUGAGGCUUCCAGCAAUUCGUGACCUUCUUGCUGCCAGAAAAUUGCACUAAAGGUGGGUGUUUCAUCGGUUUCGCUCCAUAAGUGCUUGUAGUCGACAUGUAUGAUUUCGGUUCUUGUAUAUCAUGUUGUAGCUCAAAUUCAUUGAUUGUAACAUGUAUGAAAUCUGAAUUGGGAGCAUGACUAUUAAUUAGAUGAAUAUACAUGUUGGAUUUGGAACUUGACUUAGGAGAAAACCAGCGAUUCGACCUGUCAUAUGAUUCUACUACCUGAUUUAGCUCUAGGAGCCGUGGUUUGAUUGUAUCACUGCUGUUUCAGCGCGGUGGAUAUCCGGGGUAGUUUAGAAUGUAUUUACGCUCGUGCUGGGAUGCCGAGCUUAUUUUUACAGCAGAGUCUAGGCUGUUUCAGAUUGUCGGGUGCCGUCGGGGUGGACGGUGGACCCAGAUUUCUGUUUUUGGUCUCAGAUUGUGCCGAGGGCACGUGGUUUGGUUUUUAGACCUGUUUUGACCCUAGCUACUUGACUUUGGCUUGUUAGAGCCUGAUUGAGCUCGACAGAGAUACGCUGCAUACUCGGUUGGUAGCUCCCACGAGUGCCACUCCGGAGAUGGGCGCUGUACUUUUGCGUUGGUAUCGUUCGUGCAGGUUGGACUUGCUCUCCACAGACUGGUUAGUGUGGAGGUAGCUGUAUAGUCGCAACCGGGCGGGACGGGUGUGUUCACAGUCCCAUGGACGGGUAGGAUUACAGUCCUUAUUUGAGAUUGGGUCUGAGUUGACACUGUUCUACAGAUGGUUAGAUUUAGAACAUGAUAGUAUAGUGGCAUAUAGCUGUAGAUUUGUUCCAACUUUCUUUACUAUUCCUGCUAUCCCUGUAGACUUAGUAGGUGGACUGAUGAGUUUGAGGGCGGUACCCACUAAGGACUACUUGUUUUUACAGUAGUUCUCACGCCCAGUUGUUACCACUGUUUUUGUAGAGCCGUCGCCUUCGGCUGCUGCUGUUGCUGAUCUUGAUCGUGGCAAGGGCAUCGCGAGUUAGAGCCCUUCCAGUCGAGUCACAGAGCUAGAGGAGCACCAGCUACAGAUAGUUGUAGUUUUUAGGUCUUUACAUAUAGUUGUUGUUUCUUGCUAGAGCGAGUAUUUGUAUACCUUGGAUGACAUGUAUGUAUUGAACCACAGUUUUUUUAUAUGGUUUAUUUUUCUAGCUGCUCUAUACUACUGUUUGUAGUAUUGUACAAUUACAGGUACUUCUACUUUUUCGCUUCGUAUACAAAAAAAAUAUCUAUGCAUACGGCAGGUCUGUUAGCGAGCCCGGGGGAACGGGUAAUCCGGGGCGUGACACAUAAACACCCUCUUUACCCUCCUCCGCCGCCUCGCCUUCACCCUCGUUACCUUUGCCCACCUCUCCAUCCACAUCCACAUCGAUUUCCUCCCUACUGUCGCCAAAAUAGAGAGGCGACGAGGGUACAGAAGAAGAAAAUGAGCAAAUGGAGAAGAAAAUAGAGAGGAACUUCGGCCGAUCGAGGCGGCGGAAAAGCAAGAUGAGAGAGAAGACGAAAAAGGUGAGGGGCAAAAUGAUCAUUUUGUCAUCACAGUUCACACCGUACCCCCUGUAAACAUUUUUCAUUUUAUAAGGAGCCAAGGUGUAGAUUUUUAAAUGACAAGAGGGGAAGUGAAAAAUCGAAUUUUGACAUAAGAGUUUUACGUAAUUUAGCCUUAAUAAAUUGUUGAUGUAAAAAUGAUAUAGCAUCUUAAUUAUUAUUGCAUUAUCAAUCACAACACUUCAUAUCACUUGUAUAUUAAUAAUUUGUCAAUAUUUAGCCAAUUAAAU
This 42778-nucleotide long non-coding RNA is filed under the name Ananas comosus (pineapple). RNAcentral describes it as "long non-coding RNA (ACOM_LNC010674)". The record is from RNAcentral. Lineage: Eukaryota; Viridiplantae; Streptophyta; Magnoliopsida; Poales; Bromeliaceae.